GCUUCCAGGUUGAAGUCCUGCCUUGAUCCUACAGGGGGAGGUGUUACUCUGCAGGGACUGGACCCCGAGCCUGUAAUGAAGAGAAGACCAGAGUUGCAGGAAAGGGCAGCUGAGGUAAUGAGAAGAGCUCAUUCCUCAUUUUCAAGUGAUGCGCCUCAUCUCAUUAUCGUCAGUCAGGUGAAAUUGCCCUUCAUAUGAGGGAUUGUACCUACAUCUGAUGGUGUUAUUAUACUGCUGUUUCCCCUUGCUUUUAAACCACUUUAGUGUAAAGUAAUUGCUAUUACCGUACUGUAUUCAAUUUCAAGUGGCAUUUCUCAAGACCCACAUCUAUACAAAGCUUUAAUCUUGAUGUAUAGUUGAUAACUGGUAGCCUUCUCUCAUACAGUAUAUAAUCUUUCAAUCACAAUGCACAGUAAGGUUAAAGAUACAGUACAUAUAAUAUUUCAAUUGCACAGCUAGCACUUGCUGUUAACAUA
Dicentrarchus labrax (European seabass) is the source of this 476-nucleotide long non-coding RNA. RefSeq lists it as uncharacterized. Lineage: Eukaryota; Metazoa; Chordata; Actinopteri; Moronidae. The record is from RefSeq and is a predicted model, not a curated record. The transcript has 3 exons.